UAAAGAAUUUCGGUAUGGGAUGGGGAUGCGUUCCAUUAGUUAGUUGGCGGGGUAACGGCCCACCAAGACAACGAUGGAUAGGGGUUCUGAGAGGAAGGUCCCCCACAUUGGAACUGAGACACGGUCCAAACUCCUACGGGAGGCAGCAGUGAGGAAUAUUGGUCAAUGGACGAGAGUCUGAACCAGCCAAGUAGCGUGAAGGAUGACUGCCCUACGGGUUGUAAACUUCUUUUAUAUGGGAAUAAAAUGUUCCACGUGUGGGAUUUUGUAUGUACCAUAUGAAUAAGGAUCGGCUAACUCCGUGCCAGCAGCCGCGGUAAUACGGAGGAUCCGAACGUUAUCCGGAUUUAUUGGGUUUAAAGGGAGCGUAGGUGGAUUGUUAAGUCAGUUGUGAAAGUUUGCGGCUCAACCGUAAAAUUGCAGUUGAAACUGGCAGUCUUGAGUACAGUAGAGGUGGGCGGAAUUCGUGGUGUAGCGGUGAAAUGCUUAGAUAUCACGAAGAACUCCGAUUGCGAAGGCAGCUCACUGGACUGCAACUGACACUGAGGCUCGAAAGUGUGGGUAUCAAACAGGAUUAGAUACCCUGGUAGUCCACACAGUAAACGAUGAAUACUCGCUGUUUGCGAUAUACUGCAA
This 636-nucleotide ribosomal RNA is filed under the name uncultured bacterium. Its description in RNAcentral is "bacterial SSU rRNA". It matches the Rfam family "Bacterial small subunit ribosomal RNA", at positions 202 to 842 of the family's 1533-position model. The record is from RNAcentral.